ACUUAAAUAGCUUAACAAAGAGCGUGAUAUUGAAGAUAUCAAGGUAAUUUUAAUUUUUAAGUA
This 63-nucleotide transfer RNA is filed under the name Prismognathus prossi. RNAcentral describes it as "tRNA-Phe". The record is from RNAcentral. Lineage: Eukaryota; Metazoa; Arthropoda; Insecta; Coleoptera; Lucanidae.